RNAcentral lists this small RNA (191 nucleotides) under Helianthus annuus (common sunflower). RNAcentral describes it as "Eukaryotic large subunit ribosomal RNA". It matches the Rfam family "Eukaryotic large subunit ribosomal RNA", at positions 2427 to 2618 of the family's 3401-position model. Lineage: Eukaryota; Viridiplantae; Streptophyta; Magnoliopsida; Asterales; Asteraceae. The record is from RNAcentral.
UCUAGUCCGACUUUGUGAAAUGACUUGAGAGGUGUAGUAUAAGUGGGAGCCCUCGGGCGAAAGUGAAAUACCACUACUUUUAACGUUAUUUUACUUAUUCCGUGAAUCGGAAGCGGGGCAACGCCCCUCUUUUUGGACCCAAGGCCCGCCUCGGCGGGUCGAUCCGGGCGGAAGACAUUGUCAGGUGGGAA